GAUGAACGCUAGCGGCAGGCCUAAUACAUGCAAGUCAAGGGGCCAGCAAUGGCACCGGCGCACGGGUGCGUAACACGUACACAACAUACCUUUAAGUGGGAGAUAGCAUCGGGAAACUGGUGGUAAUACCCCAUAAUAUUGCGAUGCGGCAUCACAUUGCAAUUAAAGUUUCGACGCUUAAAGAUUGGUGUGCGUCCGAUUAGCUAGUUGGCGGGGUAACGCCCACCAAGGCUACGAUCGGUAGGGGUGUGAGAGCAUGACCCCCCACAUGGGUACUGAGACACGGACCCAACUCCUACGGGAGGCAGCAGUAAGGAAUAUUGGACAAUGGACGAAAGUCUGAUCCAGCCAUGCCGCGUGCAGGAUGAAGGCGCUCAGCGUUGUAAACUGCUUUUGGAUGGGAAUAAUAACCUCGACGUGUCGGGGCUUGAAGGUACCAUCAGAAUAAGCACCGGCUAACUCCGUGCCAAGCAGCCGCGGUAAAGUGUG
RNAcentral lists this ribosomal RNA (489 nucleotides) under uncultured bacterium. RNAcentral's name for it is "bacterial SSU rRNA". It matches the Rfam family "Bacterial small subunit ribosomal RNA", at positions 28 to 529 of the family's 1533-position model. The record is from RNAcentral.